GCGAGUUCCAGUCUCAUAAAUGGACUAUUUAUGUUCGUGGUGCAACUAAUGAGGAUCUGGGUGUGGUGGUGAAACGUGUUGUUUUUCAAUUGCACUCAAGUUUUAACAAUCCUACAAGGGUUGUGGACAACCCUCCUUUUGAGUUAUCAGAAUCUGGAUGGGGUGAAUUUGAAAUUGUGAUGACCCUUCAUUUCCACACUGAUGUUUGCGAUAAGCCAUUACACUUAUAUCACCAUUUAAAACUAUAUCCAGAGGAUGAAUCUGGG
Molecule: unclassified non-coding RNA, 266 nt
Filed under: Hevea brasiliensis (rubber tree)
Lineage: Eukaryota; Viridiplantae; Streptophyta; Magnoliopsida; Malpighiales; Euphorbiaceae
Source: RNAcentral